ACUUCAGAGUCUGAAGCCACACUAUCAGCAGACGAGCCAUGAUGGAGUUUGUUCACGUUGCUGUAACUGUGCUCUGUCUUCUGUCUCUUGGACACUCAGCUCCUGUGACAAGCUGUGAGAAUCUAAUCCAGCCUCGUGAAAUCCACGGAAAUCAGCUGGUGGGAAAAUGGACACACAUAGCAGUGAGCUUAGACAUACCUGGAUUCAACAUGCUGACGAAGAUGCCUCUGGAGACCGCCUGGAUGAACAUCACUGCUGCCAA
Molecule: long non-coding RNA, 262 nt
Organism: Oreochromis niloticus (Nile tilapia)
Lineage: Eukaryota; Metazoa; Chordata; Actinopteri; Cichliformes; Cichlidae
Exons: 2
Source: RefSeq, a predicted model, not a curated record